UCCUCCUGGUGUAUGUCUCUGGUAGAGGCCUACCUAUGUCAGCAUCACUCUCGAAGGGUUUAUUAAAAAAACAAACAAACAAACAACCAAACAAAAAGGAGUAGUGGAGUGGGCAGUCAGCCUCGUCCCAAAUCACCAGUUUUCAGGGAAUCCCAACUUAAAAGCACUGCUAACCUGUCCCAAGCACCUGUUGGAUGGCAUCCAUUAACUUGGACUUUAUGCUGAAGGUGCGACCAGGCCAGAAGACUAUUCAGGACCACAGCUCCGCGGGCGGGCCUUCUGGGCUACCCACUGAUAUGCAGGAUUAAUCACCACGAAUGAUGGUAUGUGGUUCAAGUACACACACAUGUGCUACAAAAGUCACAAGGUCCAAAAGACAACACAGCAAUAGUCCACAGGGGGCUCGUGUGCACGGAAACCUGCUCGGACCCUUGCAUCCCCUUCGAGCACCCACGUCCUAAUCAAUUCAAGCAUGUUUACGGAGACCUCUGAGACGCCCUGUGCAAUAAACUCCAAGCGGUUUAAAACUA
Suricata suricatta (meerkat) is the source of this 530-nucleotide long non-coding RNA. RefSeq lists it as uncharacterized. NCBI's taxonomy places the organism in Eukaryota, Metazoa, Chordata, Mammalia, Carnivora, Herpestidae. The transcript has 3 exons. The record is from RefSeq and is a predicted model, not a curated record.